GAUGAACGCUGGCGGCGUGCUUAACACAUGCAAGUCGAACGGGAAACCUAUUAUUGAAACUUCGGUCGAUUUAAUUUGUUUCUAGUGGCGGACGGGUGAGUAACGCGUGGGUAACCUGCCCUAUACAGGGGGAUAACAACCAGAAAUGGUUGCUAAUACCGCAUAAGCGCACGGGACCGCAUGGUCCAGUGUGAAAAACUCCGGUGGUAUAGGAUGGACCCGCGUUGGAUAGCUAGUUGGUGGGGUAACGGCCCACCAAGGCAACGAUCCAUAGCCGGCCUGAGAGGGUGAACAGCCACAUUGGGACUGAGACACGGCCCAGACUCCUACGGGAGGCAGCAGUGGGGAAUAUUGCACAAUGGGGGAAACCCUGAUGCAGCGACGCCGCGUGAAGGAAGAAGUAUCUCGGUAUGUAAACUUCUAUCAGCAGGGAAGAUAGUGACGGUACCUGACUAAGAAGCCCCGGCUAACUACGUGCCAGCCGCCGCAGUAA
RNAcentral lists this ribosomal RNA (493 nucleotides) under uncultured bacterium. RNAcentral describes it as "partial 16S ribosomal RNA". It matches the Rfam family "Bacterial small subunit ribosomal RNA", at positions 28 to 523 of the family's 1533-position model. The record is from RNAcentral.